GUCCGCUUCUCUUCCCCAGCCCUCCGCGCAGCUCAGCCGUAAGCCGUACUGUAAGCCGACUCUAGAGGGGAAAACGGCGUCUUCCAAUUCAGGAGAAAGACUGAGGCUUCCGGUUUGCCGUUCUAGCCCGCAGAGUUGCCUGUCAGCAGCUACACAUUGCUGAUUCAUCCUGCUUCCUUACAGUACAUACCAGAGGAAAUAGGAUUGCAGUUCUUGAGAGAACAUAUCUCAGAUGGAAACAUGCAGCAUUCAAGGUCUCUACAGGCAUUCAACCUGAACUCAUGAGGCUUAAAUACAUGGUGUGUUCAAGCUUCAUACUGGUAUCUUUUCACAUUCGUGUCUUCUAGAAAACAUUGUGCUAAAUUUCACACGGGAGAUAUUUUACACAUUUUCUUGUAGGCAACAACUGUGAUAAGGAAGAGCUCUUAGUCACUAAAAUACUUGCAAUCACUAAUAGAUAAGCUAAUGGAGAUGAGUAUACCACCAUUUUAUCUCAAACUCUACAUCACUUUUUAACCAGCUUUAUUAAAGUUAAGUGUCCUGCUCAGAUUUGGACUAGCCUCUAUUUCCACUUAAGACAAAACAGAAUUUUAAAUGAAACUUUAUUGAUUUUCAAUUCUGGUUUAUGUUAUGAAAACAAAAAAUAUAUAUAUUUAUACAAUGUUAGAUAAUAUCCAUACUUUAAGUCAUGGGUGUCAAACUCGUCACGACACAUGACGUGUCGUGAUAUAUCACGACUUUUUUCACAUAGUGGGAGCUGGGGUGGGCACAGCCUCCCUAUGAUGAAACCGGCCCGUGGGCCAGCAGUUGACACUCUUGCUCUAAGUCAAUGAGUUUUAAUAUUUGCCUAACCAGAACUGAUGUUAGCUAUCAUCAAGAUUCAGUUUAAACAUAAUCUGGAUUAUUUCAUUUUUAGCUAUUUGGUUAUUGCCCUCCCAUUAUAUUUUUUUUAAAAAAAUUAUACUUAAGAAAAUUGUAGGACAAGAACAUUAGACUUUGUGUCCAACCUUCUUAAAAUUUAAAUUAACAAUUUUAAUUUCUAGCAUAGGUUUUUUUUAGUAAAAAUCAACUUAAAAUAUUAUCAUUGGUGCAGUCAGGAAAAGCAAGUAGACCAGCUGCAGAGCUUUUAAAAUAUGAGCACAAAUGGGAGGUGUCAGCUCAAGGAAGUGAUCAACUAGAGAUAAUAUCAUAUGGGUAGGAAUAAUGGAGAAUUUAGAGUAGGGGUGUCAAACUGGCAGCCUGCUGGCCAGAUGUGUCACAUGCAGGCCAUGCCCACCCCUGGGUCCACAAAGGCAAAAAAUGUUGCAAUACGUCACAAUAUAUCAUGUGAGGCGAUCGAGUUUGACACCCAUGAUUUAGAGGAUGAGAUAGGAUGGUGAAUAUGUUUGCUAAUUCUAGCUGCUUUCUUCAAAUACAGAUUAUAGCUAUGUAAUGUUUUACACAUUACAAUUACAAUUCUCUAUAAAGAUUCCCUAGGAAUUUGUCUCACUGGAUGUGUUUGUACAGAAUGUUAAACCAGAUUUAACCAUGGUUUACUGCAUUAAUCUAGUUGCCAGGGCAUACCAAACACACUGAAGCAUGAACUAACCACAAUACUACUGUUGUUGCCUCUAAAUUCUCAACCAUUGCAGGAAAGGCAUGCAGAAAAGUCUUAAUUUUUUGUUGUCAUCUAAUGGUUGUCCAGAGUUCCACAGCUGUGAUCUGAUAAAACCUAUACUUAACUGACCUGAUUUGGCAAUUCAGUAUGCAUGUAAGGGGAAUGUCAAGCUACAAACCCUACGGUCUUUAGGACUGCGACAUACUUCUAACUUGCCAACAGUGCGGGAAGAAGAGAGGGGAGAAUUUUGAAUCCACAGGUGUCCUUAUCAGUGUGAGAGCCGGAGCUGUUGAAGAGUUAUUUUGGCAAACCAAAGUUUCUUCUCAUAAUACUUACUGAACAAUGUACUGGACAAUGUGACCCAAAUGUGUCAGAGAGGGGAAGGAAAGUUCCAUCAUUUUAAUUAACUGCUUCCCGCCAUUUCCUCAGAGCUAGCUUUCCUUUAACCCUGCCGGUUUGUUUCUGCUCAAUAAAGAAUACAUUAGAGAA
This is a long non-coding RNA of Crotalus tigris (Tiger rattlesnake), 2086 nucleotides long. RefSeq lists it as uncharacterized. Lineage: Eukaryota; Metazoa; Chordata; Lepidosauria; Squamata; Viperidae. The transcript is spliced from 3 exons. The record is from RefSeq and is a predicted model, not a curated record.